AUAUGCAUACAUAAGCAAGUAAUUAAUAAGCAAAAACUUAUGCUAGUAGAUCCAUAGUUAUUAUAAGUACAUGUAGUAUAAUGAUUAAUACAUAUAUGGAAGGAUCAACUUAUGGUAGUAGAUAAUCAUAAUUAAUAUAUAGUAAAUAGGAAGAAAAUUACUUAAUAAUACGGAGGACGUGGCGGUGGAGGACCGGGAUGACCAGGCUGUGGUGGCGGUGGAGCAGGAUGAGCAUGAAGUGGUGUAUGAUGGUGGUGGACAACUGGUGGUGGAGCGUAAGGAUUUGGAGGAGGGGGUGGAUGGUGGAAAACAGGUGGUGGGGGAGCAAAAGGAUCAUGAGGAGGUGGAGGGUGGUGAGAGUGGGGCAUAGGUGGUGGUGGUGGACCUGGACCAAGUGGUGGACCUCUUCCCAUGAUCGGAGGUCCUGGUGGUGGAGGAUUGUGCCUAUGGUUGUGAGGAUAACUCAUGCUUAAUUAUUUUCUUACUAGUGAAUUCAAAAGUCUAUAUAGUAAAUAAUUUAUUUAGAAGGUUGAAGAGAAGAUUGUGAAUUUGUCCUUGAUGACACGAGGGACUGACUUAUGGCUGGGAAUGGGAAUUGUUGUUGCUGUU
RNAcentral lists this long non-coding RNA (609 nucleotides) under Medicago truncatula (barrel medic). Its description in RNAcentral is "long non-coding RNA (MTRU_LNC003749)". Lineage: Eukaryota; Viridiplantae; Streptophyta; Magnoliopsida; Fabales; Fabaceae. The record is from RNAcentral.